Long non-coding RNA from Engraulis encrasicolus (European anchovy), 238 nucleotides. RefSeq lists it as uncharacterized. The transcript has 3 exons. The record is from RefSeq and is a predicted model, not a curated record. Lineage: Eukaryota; Metazoa; Chordata; Actinopteri; Clupeiformes; Engraulidae.
GCCAGAAGGGCCUUUAGUGGCCAUGGUGCCAUCUGCACUAGUGUUACUGGUGCUAGGUGUGACUGGAGUCACUACUGGAUUCAUUCUAUGGAGAAAGAGAAACCGAUGUACGCAAACAUCAAGUAUAUCAACCUCCUCCUAUACAGUGGCCUCAAGCACCGUACAGGAAGACACAACCACAGAAAAUGCUUUAUAAAACUGCAUACUGAAUGGGAUUCCUGAAAAGCCUACAAUUACA